UACGUAGGGUGCAAGCGUUAAUCGGAGUUACUGGGCGUAAAGCGUGCGCAGGCGGUCAUACAAGACAGAUGUGAAAUCCCCGGGCUUAACCUGGGAAUUGCAUUUGUGACUGUAUGGCUGGAGUGCGGCAGAGGGGGAUGGAAUUCCGCGUGUAGCAGUGAAAUGCGUAGAUAUGCGGAGGAACACCGAUGGCGAAGGCAAUCCCCUGGGCCUGCACUGACGCUCAUGCACGAAAGCGUGGGGAGCAAACAGG
RNAcentral lists this ribosomal RNA (253 nucleotides) under uncultured bacterium. RNAcentral's name for it is "partial 16S ribosomal RNA". It matches the Rfam family "Bacterial small subunit ribosomal RNA", at positions 524 to 776 of the family's 1533-position model. The record is from RNAcentral.